Rhinopithecus bieti (black snub-nosed monkey) is the source of this 261-nucleotide unclassified non-coding RNA. It matches the Rfam family "Metazoan signal recognition particle RNA". Rfam says of the family: The signal recognition particle (SRP) is a universally conserved ribonucleoprotein. It is involved in the co-translational targeting of proteins to membranes. The eukaryotic SRP consists of a 300-nucleotide 7S RNA and six proteins: SRPs 72, 68, 54, 19, 14, and 9. NCBI's taxonomy places the organism in Eukaryota, Metazoa, Chordata, Mammalia, Primates, Cercopithecidae. The record is from Ensembl.
GCCAAGUGUGAUGACAUGCGCCUGUGGGCUCAGCUACUCGGGAGGCUGAGGCAGGAGCAUCACUUGAGUUCAGGGGCUCCGAUUGUUGAGUGAUGCCUCUCAGGUGUCCACACUAAGUUCAAUGUCAAACCAGUGACCUCCUGGGAGGGGUACUAGCUUAGGUUAGAAAUGGAGCAGGUCAGAAUUCCUAUGCUGAUCAGUAGUGGGAUUGCGCCUGUGAGUUGCACUCCAGACUAGGCAACAUUGUGAGACACUGUCUUU